This 75-nucleotide transfer RNA is filed under the name Parasutterella muris. Its description in RNAcentral is "Parasutterella sp. NM82_D38 tRNA-Arg". It matches the Rfam family "tRNA". Rfam says of the family: Transfer RNA (tRNA) molecules are approximately 80 nucleotides in length. Their secondary structure includes four short double-helical elements and three loops (D, anti-codon, and T loops). RNAcentral also lists the same sequence under 1 other name. The record is from RNAcentral. Lineage: Bacteria; Pseudomonadati; Pseudomonadota; Betaproteobacteria; Burkholderiales; Sutterellaceae.
GGCCCCAUAGUUGAAUGGAUACAACGUGGUCCUCCUAAGACUGAAGUACAGGUUCGAUUCCUGUUGGGGCCGCCA